UACAGAGGGGGCAAGCGUUGUUCGGAAUUACUGGGCGUAAAGGGCGCGUAGGCGGCCUGCUAAGUCGAACGUGAAAUCCCCGGGCUCAACCCGGGAACUGCGUCCGAUACUGGCAGGCUUGAAUCCGGGAGAGGGAUGUGGAAUUCCAGGUGUAGCGGUGAAAUGCGUAGAUAUCGUAAGGAAGACCAGUGGCGAAGGCGGGUCUCUGGACAGUUCCUGACGCUGAGGCACGAAGGUCAGGGGAGCAAACGGG
This 253-nucleotide ribosomal RNA is filed under the name uncultured bacterium. RNAcentral's name for it is "partial 16S ribosomal RNA". It matches the Rfam family "Bacterial small subunit ribosomal RNA", at positions 524 to 776 of the family's 1533-position model. The record is from RNAcentral.